Molecule: unclassified non-coding RNA, 20 nt
Filed under: Mus musculus (house mouse)
Lineage: Eukaryota; Metazoa; Chordata; Mammalia; Rodentia; Muridae
Description: oocyte_clustered_small_RNA11902
Source: RNAcentral
AGUCCCAUAGACGCCAUCGC